AAACCAACAAGAACUGCUAACUCUCGCAUCUGAGUCU
This 37-nucleotide transfer RNA is filed under the name Archilochus alexandri (black-chinned hummingbird). Its description in RNAcentral is "partial tRNA-Ser". The record is from RNAcentral. Lineage: Eukaryota; Metazoa; Chordata; Aves; Apodiformes; Trochilidae.